UUCUAUUAGAAAUAAUUAAUAGUAUAAUCUGCUCAAUGAUAUUAAAUAGCCGCUUAUAUUGUGCUAAGGUAGCAUAAUCAUUUGUCUUUUAAUUAAAGACUAGAACAAAAGAUUAAACAAUUUAAUUAAUAUAUAAUUUAUUAAUAAUUUUAAUUUAUUUUAAAAGUAAAAAAACUUUUAUAUUUGAGAAAGACGACAAGACCCUUUUAAACUUAACUUAAGUUAAACUGGGGCAGUUAAUUAAUUAUCAUUUUAAUAAUAAUAAAAACAUAAAUGAUCUUAUAAAAUAAAUUAAUUGACCAAGUUACUAUAGGGAUAACAGCGUAAUAUAAAUUUAAAGAUCUUAUAUAAAUAAAUGUUUGCGACCUCGAUGUUGAAUAAUAACCUAAAUUGUUGCAAUAAACAAAUAAAGGAAGUCUGUUCGACUUUUAAAAAAUUACA
Molecule: ribosomal RNA, 441 nt
Filed under: Oxysoma punctatum
Lineage: Eukaryota; Metazoa; Arthropoda; Arachnida; Araneae; Anyphaenidae
Description: partial 16S ribosomal RNA
Source: RNAcentral